Molecule: ribosomal RNA, 491 nt
Filed under: Escherichia coli
Lineage: Bacteria; Pseudomonadati; Pseudomonadota; Gammaproteobacteria; Enterobacterales; Enterobacteriaceae
Description: bacterial SSU rRNA
Rfam family: Bacterial small subunit ribosomal RNA
Source: RNAcentral
UUAAAUUGAAGAGUUUGAUCAUGGCUCAGAUUGAACGCUGGCGGCAGGCCUAACACAUGCAAGUCGAACGGUAACAGGAAGCAGCUUGCUUCUUUGCUGACGAGUGGCGGACGGGUGAGUAAUGUCUGGGAAACUGCCUGAUGGAGGGGGAUAACUACUGGAAACGGUAGCUAAUACCGCAUAACGUCGCAAGACCAAAGAGGGGGACCUUCGGGCCUCUUGCCAUCGGAUGUGCCCAGAUGGGAUUAGCUAGUAGGUGGGGUAACGGCUCACCUAGGCGACGAUCCCUAGCUGGUCUGAGAGGAUGACCAGCCACACUGGAACUGAGACACGGUCCAGACUCCUACGGGAGGCAGCAGUGGGGAAUAUUGCACAAUGGGCGCAAGCCUGAUGCAGCCAUGCCGCGUGUAUGAAGAAGGCCUUCGGGUUGUAAAGUACUUUCAGCGGGGAGGAAGGGAGUAAAGUUAAUACCUUUGCUCAUUGACGUUACC